This is a long non-coding RNA of Peromyscus maniculatus bairdii (prairie deer mouse), 5919 nucleotides long. RefSeq lists it as uncharacterized. Lineage: Eukaryota; Metazoa; Chordata; Mammalia; Rodentia; Cricetidae. The record is from RefSeq and is a predicted model, not a curated record.
GCUCCUACAGCAGGGCGUAGGAAAGAUUCCGUGGUGAGACUUGGAUAGUCCCCCUCCCCCAAUGCCUUGAUCCAGAAGUGUCCCAGACGGCCCCACUCCUUCAAAGAGUAUGAGGCUAUAAUAAGGGACUGGGACCAGCCUCACAGCCCAGGUACAGUGUGCGCAAGCUCAGGACCUGAUCUCAAGACCUGCCCUCUCGAAAUCUCUGAGCCUUCGAGAGGUUCCUGCAAGCCUUAUGGAGCCUAGGCCACUACCACCAACUUGCACUGAGCUCAAUGACCAACCGCACUGAUAAACAGACACAGGAGCGCACGUGCGCAUGCUUGGAGUCUACUGGGAAGCCCAGCCAUUGGCUCUACCCUUGGCAGGAGGCACCGGAAGUCCCAGCCAGUUCCAGGUACCCCUAGUGGUUGGAACGGAAAGCCCUGUAGAGGCCGUUGGAAGGCGUUGGCUGUUCCAGCCCAGUGCCUUUCAGUUAGGCUGGCUCCACAGAGGAUGCAGCAGCUAGCCUCGAUAAGGCUCAGUGGGGGCAGUGUGGGGAGGCCCAUCUUCCCAAACCAUAACUGUUAUCAAGACCUUGAACUGUUGCAUAUCUAUAUAUUCUUGUGGUGACAGUGGCCUUAGGGGAACAUUAGGUAGGAGCUGUGCAAGCUCCGUUAAAUAACGUCACUGACUUACCUGGUGGCCUUUUGGACCGAUUCUGGAAAGUUUUCAAACCCGUCACAGGAAAGGGACAGUAAACAGGGAAACGUGUGAGCUCUUGGCUUGAGCUGACCACGCCGCAGAUACUUCCUUUGAAGCACAAGGCUGAAGAGGUUUAGCCAGGUUUUUCUGACAAGAGAGCUGGCAUGCCUCCUGCUUUUUAAGUGAUCUCGCUUUAGUGAAGCCCAGAACCAACGAAGUAAGGCUUUUCAAGGGCCCGUAGCUUUACCCUAUACCACCAGGCUCCUAUACCUAGUUCACAGGGUUCUGCCAAGCCCGAGGAGACCAGGGCUUUCUGUGUAUUUUCCUCCUGCUCCUUUUUGUAUCAAAUCCUUGUCCUUAAGUAUGAGAGGUAUUCUUUCUAGACAACAAGAAAAAAUAAUUCCCCAAGUGACUCUUAAGUCACUUUGAUGUCAUUGGAGAAGUCACUGUAACAAGAAUAUCAUGAGGCUCAAGGGAUUAAACUAAAGAAUAUUUUCUUCCAGAAAUUAGGCCCUGGGAGGGAAACUUCCUUUUAUCCUUUAAGGUGGGUGUAAUGGCCUGUAGGAAGCUUUGAAGCUUGAGACAGUAAUUUAUGACAAUCUUAAGUGCAAAUCCUGGUGUGAUUUUAGACUUCAGUCUGGGUGUGGAAACACCAGCAUGGACAGGCACUGUGGGAUAGAAAAGCGGGAGGUGUCCUUCCUGGAGCCACAAACUGGGAAAAUGAAAUGGGGUUCCCAGGAAAAGGCAGCAGGGGUGUUUAAGAAAGUCUAUCUUUAUCCUGUGGUGGGGUCAUUCUUAAGUCUCAUUUUAAAGUAGCUUAGACCUAUAUAUAAAUAACCACAUGGUCAUUGAGAGAUGAUGAUUCAUUAAUUUUAUUUCUGGGUGUCCUGACCCAAAGACACAGAGAAAUAGACCCCUCCCCCUUUCGGCAGUUACAACCUCGUCAUUCUAAGUGAUCCUGAAAAAGGAAACAACACAGGGGAGAUGAUGAAACAGCGGUUUAGAUAUAAUCCUAAGGGCUCUUAAGAAUUUGGGAUUUCACCUUGUGGGAAUCGAAUACCCUCUAAGUGUUGUGGUCCAGGAUGUGGUGCCGAGCAGCGGAGAUGGGUGCAGCUAACGCACGGUCUUUGUUUGAUCCAUUGUUCUCAUGAACCACACCCUCCUGGUUUGUCUAGAUCCUCUUCUAGUGCUUGACCAUUAACUGUGUCAGCUGCCCACCUUCCAAAAUUAGAAAGCCUUCUUUCAUUUUUGAUGAUUUUCUUUCUCUCUGCUCUCCAUGUUAGCAUCACCCAAAUGCCCGGGGCUCAUGGCUACUAUGUUCCCUGUCCUGUCUGGGACUUCUGUCCUCUGCGCUCAGUGAUAGAGUGCUGCAUGUAGAUGGGAACCUGGGGUCGUGUCCUGCUACAGCGUAUGCUAAGUCCUCUCCAGCUGAGAUCACAGAUGGAAAACAAUAAGCUUCGGAGCCCAGAUGAGAUCUAAGAAGGGGAGGGGGGGAGAUUGGACUGUGAUGAGAAAAUGGGGUGGAAACACAAAGAAUGUGGAUUUGGCACAAAUCCAAAGUUUUUCUUGUGUUAUGAGUUGUUUUGGUGGCCCUUGCUGUCACUCAAGCCACCAAUUGUUGCUCAUUGGGUGAAGCUACAGACCCUUGAAAGAGUCAGUUUCUAGGUUGAUGGUAAUUGGAAGAGCUUCUGAGUGAUGCCCGAGUCGCAGAAGGGAGUGAGUCACUUGUGAACUGAUGGAUGCCUCCGUGGGUGCUUAGAUGCCCUGCGUAGUUAUUGCUUCUCUUUCACAUAAACUUAAGUCGGUCUGAUCCUUGCCAUAAAGAAAAACUGUAUUCAGAAGAGAUGAAACUAAAAAGAGUGUUAUCAAAGCAGAAACCCAGAUGAGAAUGUGGAUAGAAAGUAGAAAAUGGUUCCAGCAACAGAGAUGGGGGGGCGGGCAGAAGAUGAAGAAUUAUCAAGAAAAAGAGGAACAUCCUAAGGAAAAGGGCAAAGGGAAGGUGGGCCAGACUGCUUUAUGAAACCAGACAGAACCAGGAAAGACGAAAGCUUUUCCUCUCCCUCUACUUCCUGCCCUCCUCCUCCUCCCUUUCAAGCCCUUGCCAGGUGCUAGCUAGGUAGGUACAGAGAUCGGACGAACAGACUCCGAUUCUACAGUGGAAGGGGUACAUUUUGGAGCAGGGACGGAAAGCGUGUCUCCACUGGCUGCCUUUCCUGGGUAUGGGGAAGGAGGGAUGGCCUCGGUGGUCCUGAGGCUGAGGCCAGAAAGCAGCUGGCUUGUGUCGGCCAAGGGCUCAUACCAUCUUUGUUGUUUCUCUUAGGGCAGUCGCUGGGGUUGUUAUAGGCACAGAAGAGGCAAUGGGAACCAGUCGGUGGAGCAUUCCUGUGUCAUGGUUGUACCUGUGGUCACUGGCAGGGAGAGCUGUGCCUCUCUUUUCUCGAAGUGCCCUCCAUGCUGCUGUGGGUUGUCUAGGAGGGGUUCACCUUGACUUUCACUGUGCCUAUCAGGCAAAGUGGAAGAGGGAGGAAAAGACAUGUGUAAAACCACAGGUGGUGGUGGGGAAACCCACCUUGAAUUCCCCCAAUUAAAACAGGAAACCAAAGGCAAAGAAUUUGCCAUCUAAUGUAUGGGCCCCUGCAGGCUGGGAAACCUGAGUAGCACAAGAAAAGGUACUACUCUUGUGGGAGAUGAUAUUAGUGCUGAAGGGCAGCGUGAGGGGCCUUACUGAAGCUGCUAGGUUUUCACCUCUAGGGUCUUUGGGAGGUGUAUAUGUUCCGUUUUACGCGCUCUGAAGACUCCUGUACAUGGACUAUCCAAGAUAUGAGGGAGCCCAAGGAUCAUUAGCCAUCUAGUUUGGGACUGUGAAGCAGGCACUGAGAAAUUAGCUGUGAGCUUCCAGUUUAGGGAAUCUAAUGGUUGACUUGCUCUGGGGAACUCUUUCCACCAUGGUCUUGUCAAUGCAUGGGUUUCCUGGCCAGAGUUCAAAAUAAACCAAAACAAGCAACCAAAGGCACAGGUAGGCAUUACUUUUAGUGGUAUCACUUCCAUUUUACCCGAUGCUUUGAGGAAUGUUUGAUGUUUGUGGUUCUGUAAUGAGGGAUGGUGUUCUAGGGAGGUAGCUACUAAAGUGAUAGCAUCACCAUGUUUUUCUCAUUGGCCAUGGGCCUUUGAAACUUUAAUAUUAGCACUGUGCUUGGACAGCAUAUAGUUGCCAAAGACCGAACCCAGACGCACCAGCUUAGUGAUGAUGGCACCAAGCCACACACCUACUCUACUGUUGUUUCUUCAAGGGGACAUCAUCAGAAGAGUUGAAUGCCACAAGGGGGGCCUGGCUCAUGGCUAACUUACUGCUUCCCACCUUGAUUUCUCUGACUGGUUGUGUUUAUGGGCAUUUUGCAAAUUUCCCAGCAUCUGCAUCCUUCAUAAAGUUGGGGAGUUUGUUUUCCAGUUCUUGUAUUUUCCCCUGGGCGAAUGGCUCUUUUUCUUAGGUGUGCUUGCCUCUGCUCCCAACAGUGAGCUGUCCUCUGUGAAGUGACUGAAUAGUUCACAGCUACAGUGAAAAAAGCUCUCAACCCCCCCCCCCAAACAAACCUGCAUGACUUGUGGCUGAUUUCAGGUUGGGGUUGGGUUUGAAAUGGAGUUUAGAGUCUCUAUUCCAAAGUCAGCAAUGUCAAAUAACAAGCUUUCGGGUGUGCUUGCUGGUGGCAGUGCUUGGAGAAUGGAAUUAUAAAUGAUGUGAUGGGUCCAGACUAACUUUACAGGGUCCUGGUGGCAUUCACUGCCAUGCCCCUGUUGAUGGGGUUUGACACAGGGUUUCCCCUUGGGAGUUAGCAAAAAACUUGAUCCCUACCCCAAAAACUCUGCACUUGAACAGAGUACCAAGUCUGUGUUCUUGUUCUGAACCAUGUACACGCUGGAAAAAUCUCCCGACUUCUUUGGGUUUUAGUUUCCUCAUGGGUAAAAUUGGGAGACUAACAUCUACCUCACCGAGUUGUUGUGAGGAUUGAAUAUACUCUGUAACUUUCAUGUUAUGUAAACCAUUGUGAUUGAAAGCCAGCUUUAAGCAUGAAUUGGCCAUAUGAAGAGCAUGUAUGUAGACAUUUCUGCCACCACACAUGCUGUUUGUGUGCUGUCUGCUUAAACCUGGAGUAAAAAUGGUUCUAAGUACAUGUGGGUGUAUAAAAAGGGUUUGUAGCUUUCAUGAGCUUCCUAAAGGGGCUCCAGACCCUCAAAAUUUGGAAAUCAGUGCUUCAGACUUGAAGAAGCUGCAUUAAAAAAUAGUGAUUGCUUCUAGAAGUUUCCUUUGAACAUGACCACAGGACUGACUGUAAUAAUUUUAGAGGCAGAUCAUUGAUGCGUUCUGGUUUCUCAGUAUUUUGUUUGUCUGUUUUGUGAUGUCAAGGGUUGAACCCAAGGUUUUAUAACAUGCUAGAUAUGCACUUUAUGACUGAGCAUUUGAGACAGGAAAUGUCGGACGUAUCGAUGGCUUAUCAUCAGAUUAUCCAACUGUCCUUCAUUUGAAGGUGAACAUAAAGCAAAAUCGUUAAAUAUUUGACCCAAAGGAAGUUGACAAGAAUGUGAUCUGGAUAAUCUCCAGAGAGACUCAUUUUGAUCCACUAGGAAAGGGAGAACAAAAUGAGACUUGGAUGGAGUAUCGGGGCUGAAAUGAGUGAGCAUCAAAGCAAGGAGGCGAUCGGACUUGAGAAUUUUCAUCCUGGCCAGCAGGGAAGCACAUGGUCCUAUUGGGGAGGGAGUCAACGUAAUCCAAGCUGGAAGAAAGCUGCUGGGCGACUAUUUAUCCCAAGGUCUCCGACUCCCAGGGACCAGACACUCAUGGUCCACAUUCUGUCUUGGGACUGACUUUUCAGAGCAUGCAGUCCUUCAGGGAGGGAACUUUGUCACAGGAGUGAAUGCUGUGCACCAUCCCUCUGUGCACUGGUGAUGUGGUCCAGCUUCUUCAGGAAACAGCCAUGCAGAUGCCUCAGGACUCAGGUCCCAUUGCAGAAGAUGAAUGGUUGCCAACCAGAGAUCCAGACAAAGGCCUCAGGAUGUGAUAUCUGGAAGUUUUUCUGGCAUGGGAAGGGGUAUACACGUUGCAUCUCGUGAGGUGUCUGUCAACUCACAAUGUAUUUCAAAAAUAUUAGAACACUAUAAUGUGUACACUUGAUGACAUAUGAACUGAAGAAAAUGUGUAUAAAACAUCUUCCAAACAUAAAGGAAAUAUUUGGUUCUGUA